UCAUGAUCUCCUUUUACAUGUGUUCCCUCCAACUGGUCACCACCCUGUGUCACCACUUGCACUUUGCAAAAGAGGAAGCUGAUGCAGAAGGCGUGAGAAGUCUGAGGAACAGAUAGAGCUGAGAGGUGAGGAAACUGAGGCCAACAGAGAUGCAGAACUUUCCCAGUGUCACCAGAAUGUAAGUGGUGGAGCCAGGACUGGAGGACUGGAGGAAAGGCCCUCAAGUAACCAGCCUCAAAAGCAGGAUGCAGCUAAUUGAAUGGGACGGUGACGAUUCCUUCUUCAGUUGGUCAAACAGCUAAAUCCGCCUUCGAACCUGCGGCCGCGCAGCUCCCGUGACGUCCGUUUCUGCCUGUUUCGGGUUUGGGGGAUGUGCAGCCACACACCUUCCCUGUCUGUGCUCCAAGCCCACUAACAGCCCGUUCACACCACUCCAAGUUCAUUACUGCAGAGAGGUGGGAGCACGUAAGGGGAGUGAACCGGAGACUUAGGACUCAACUGCACCAGGCACCUGAUGAAAAGUGGAGAAGCAGGACGCCUGGCCGGCUCAGUUAAGUGCCAGAUCCUUGAUUUCUGCUUGGGUCAUGAUGCCAGA
Molecule: long non-coding RNA, 595 nt
Organism: Lynx canadensis (Canada lynx)
Lineage: Eukaryota; Metazoa; Chordata; Mammalia; Carnivora; Felidae
Exons: 3
Source: RefSeq, a predicted model, not a curated record